CCUACGGGUGGCAGCAGUGAGGAAUAUUGGUCAAUGGACGCAAGUCUGAACCAGCCAUGCCGCGUGCAGGAAGACGGCUCUAUGAGUUGUAAACUGCUUUUGUACGAGGGUAAACUCACCUACGUGUAGGUGACUGAAAGUAUCGUACGAAUAAGGAUCGGCUAACUCCGUGCCAGCAGCCGCGGUAAUACGGAGGAUUCAAGCGUUAUCCGGAUUUAUUGGGUUUAAAGGGAGCGUAGGUGGACUGGUAAGUCAGUUGUGAAAGUUUGCGGCUCAACCGUAAAAUUGCAGUUGAUACUGUCAGUCUUGAGUACAGUAGAGGUGGGCGGAAUUCGUGGUGUAGCGGUGAAAUGCUUAGAUAUCACGAAGAACUCCGAUUGCGAAGGCAGCUCACUGGACUGCAACUGACACUGAUGCUCGAAAGUGUGGGUAUCAAACAG
Molecule: ribosomal RNA, 440 nt
Filed under: uncultured bacterium
Lineage: Bacteria
Description: bacterial SSU rRNA
Rfam family: Bacterial small subunit ribosomal RNA
Source: RNAcentral